Molecule: long non-coding RNA, 711 nt
Filed under: Oryzias sinensis (Chinese medaka)
Lineage: Eukaryota; Metazoa; Chordata; Actinopteri; Beloniformes; Adrianichthyidae
Description: lncRNA (ENSOSIG00000017778.1)
Source: RNAcentral
AUGAAGUGUGAUCGAUCAUCCAGCUCAAGUGGGUCCAAUGAAGUUUGGAAGCUUCUUCUCUCUGAAGCUUCUGGGGUGCUGGAUGAAGCUUUGGACCUUCUGGCCAACUCAAAAAUCAACUCCAAUAGCCCUUCGGCGUCCAUGAUUCUGGACAGCAUUCAAGAAAUCAGACUGAAUCUAUUAAGCCGCAACACUCUGAAUGAUCCGUCCACGCUCCAGCUGUGGUUCAACAGUCGACUUCGUCCGUUCUUGCCUGCUGUUUCCAGUUACUUCCUCUCAUGUCUGGCAGCUAAAGAUUUGCAGUGCAGCUCCUACCAAUAUAUUUUGAAGAUUCUAAGUCAAGUUCAGCCUCAGAUGAGUCUUUCUAAACAAGGACCCGUGUACACACACUUCAUCAAGAUUUACCUGAGAAGAAACAACACUGCAGAUCCUGGCUGUACCUCCAAUAUCACCAGCGGCACACAGUGGCUCCAGAACAAUGUUGGGGGAUUUUCUGUUCUCCUUUCUAUAAAGAACAUCAAAGAGCUCUACCCACAAUUUUCUGCGGUUUGUUUCAUUUUCUUGUGCAUUUUGUAUAAUUUUUUUCAUCAUACCAUUACAUUAUCAUUUUAUUUUUCUGUGUUUGAACAUGCAGAUGGAAGCCUUGUCAGUGCUGUCAGUCAGACAGCUUGCAGAGGUAGCUUCCACACCCGGCCAGCUCACAUCUGCUGA